Molecule: ribosomal RNA, 679 nt
Filed under: uncultured bacterium
Lineage: Bacteria
Description: bacterial SSU rRNA
Rfam family: Bacterial small subunit ribosomal RNA
Source: RNAcentral
CGGGGGUCUCACCCCCUCGGUGCCGGAGCUAACGCAUUAAGUACCCCGCCUGGGGAGUACGAUCGCAAGAUUGAAACUCAAAGGAAUUGACGGGGGCCCGCACAAGCGGUGGAGUAUGUGGUUUAAUUCGAAGCAACGCGCAGAACCUUACCUGGGUUUGACAUGUUUAGGACACCCGGUGAAAGCCGGUCUCCCCUUCGGGGGCCUUUGCACAGGUGCUGCAUGGCUGUCGUCAGCUCGUGCCGUGAGGUGUUGGGUUAAGUCCCGCAACGAGCGCAACCCUUGUCCAUAGUUGCCAUCAGGUAACGCUGGGAACUCUAUGGAGACUGCCGGUGACAAGCCGGAGGAAGGUGGGGAUGACGUCAAGUCCUCAUGGCCCUUACAUCCAGGGCUACACACGUACUACAAUGGUCGGUACAGAAGGUUGCAAUACCGCGAGGUGGAGCUAAUCCCUAAAACCGGCCUCAGUUCAGAUUGGAGUCUGCAACUCGACUCCAUGAAGGAGGAAUCGCUAGUAAUCGCUGAUCAGCAAGCAGCGGUGAAUACGUUCCCGGGCCUUGUACACACCGCCCGUCAAGCCACGGAAGUUGGGAGCACCCGAAGUCGUUUGCCUAACCGCAAGGAUGGCGACGCCUAAGGUGAUACCGAUGACUGGGGCUAAGUCGUAACAAGGUAGCCG